Molecule: unclassified non-coding RNA, 332 nt
Filed under: soil metagenome
Description: partial contains 5.8S ribosomal RNA, internal transcribed spacer 2, and large subunit ribosomal RNA
Rfam family: 5.8S ribosomal RNA (bases 1-120)
Source: RNAcentral
GAUGAAGAACGCAGCAAAAUGCGAUAAGUAAUGUGAAUUGCAGAAUUCAGUGAAUCAUCGAAUCUUUGAACGCACGUUGCGCCCGCCAGUAUUCUGGCGGGCAUGUCUGUUCGAGCGUCAUUUCAACCCUCAAGCACAGCUUGGUGUUGGGACUCGCGUUAAUUCGCGUUCCCCAAAUUGAUUGGCGGUCACGUCGAGCUUCCAUAGCGUAGUAGUAAAACCCUCGUUACUGGUAAUCGUCGCGGCCACGCCGUUAAACCCCAACUUCUGAAUGUUGACCUCGGAUCAGGUAGGAAUACCCGCUGAACUUAAGCAUAUCAAUAAGCGGAGGA